This 379-nucleotide ribosomal RNA is filed under the name grassland soil bacterium TSA-18. RNAcentral describes it as "bacterial SSU rRNA". It matches the Rfam family "Bacterial small subunit ribosomal RNA", at positions 86 to 500 of the family's 1533-position model. The record is from RNAcentral.
GCAAGGGGAGUGGCAGACGGGUGAGUAACGCGUGGGAAUCUACCCAAUUCUUCGGAWYAACACAUGGAAACGUGUGCUAAUACCGAAUGAGCCCUUCGGGGGAAAGAUUUAUCGGAAUUGGAUGAGCCCGCGUUGGAUUAGCUAGUUGGUGGGGUAAAGGCCUACCAAGGCGACGAUCCAUAGCUGGUCUGAGAGGAUGAUCAGCCACACUGGGACUGAGACACGGCCCAGACUCCUACGGGAGGCAGCAGUGGGGAAUAUUGGACAAUGGGCGCAAGCCUGAUCCAGCCAUGCCGCGUGAGUGAUGAAGGUCUUAGGAUUGUAAAGCUCUUUCACCGGUGAAGAUAAUGACGGUAACCGGAGAAGAAGCCCCGGCUAA